GAAGAAAGAGGGAGGAGGGAGGAAAAAAGGAAAGUAGAAAGGAAAGGCCCUGCUUUUGUGGGGUGCUCGAGUGGCGAACGGGUGAGUAACACGUGAGUAACCUGCCCUUUACUUUGGGAUAACUUCAGGAAACUGGGGCUAAUACCGGAUAGUAGCUCCUGCUGCCUGGUGGGGGUUGGAAAGUUUCGGCGGUUGGGGAUGGACUCGCGGCUUGUCAGCUUGUUGGUGGGGUAGUGGCUUACCAAGGCUUUGACGGGUAGCCGGCCUGAGAGGGUGACCGGCCAGAUUGGGACUGAGAUACGGCCGGAGCGCCUACGGGAGGCAGCAGUGGGGAAGAUGGCAGAAUGGGCGGAAGCCUGAGGCAGCAACGCCGAGUGCGGGGUGACGGCCUUCGGGUUGUAACCCGAUUACGCCUGUGACGAAGCGUGAGUGAGGGUAAUGGGUAAAGAAGCACCGGCUAACUACGUA
This 468-nucleotide ribosomal RNA is filed under the name uncultured bacterium. RNAcentral describes it as "partial 16S ribosomal RNA". It matches the Rfam family "Bacterial small subunit ribosomal RNA", at positions 38 to 507 of the family's 1533-position model. The record is from RNAcentral.